GGAAGUAAACGUCGUAACAAGGUUUCCGUAGGUGAACCUGCGGAAGGAUCAUUACCGCGUGCGGGCCCUUUAGGUCCAACCUCCCACCCGUGUUUAUCGUACCUUGUUGCUUCGGCGGGCCCGCCGCAAGGCCCCCGGGGGCAUCUGCCCUCUGGCCCGCGCCCGCCGAAGACACCAUUGAACGCUGUCUGAAGAUUGCAGUCUGAGCAAUUAGUUAAAUAACUUAAAACUUUCAACAACGGAUCUCUUGGUUCCG
Molecule: unclassified non-coding RNA, 256 nt
Filed under: plant metagenome
Description: partial contains small subunit ribosomal RNA, internal transcribed spacer 1, and 5.8S ribosomal RNA
Rfam family: Eukaryotic small subunit ribosomal RNA (bases 1-54)
Source: RNAcentral